CACAUGACUCUCGGCAACGGAUAUCUUGGCUCUCGCAUCGAUGAAGAACGUAGCAAAAUGCGAUACCUGGUGUGAAUUGCAGAAUCCCGUGAACCAUCGAGUUUUUGAACGCAAGUUGCGCCCGAGGCCUUUUGGCCGAGGGCACGUCUGCCUGGGCGUCACGC
This 164-nucleotide ribosomal RNA is filed under the name Coelachyrum poiflorum. Its description in RNAcentral is "5.8S ribosomal RNA". It matches the Rfam family "5.8S ribosomal RNA". From Rfam's summary of the family: 5.8S ribosomal RNA (5.8S rRNA) is a component of the large subunit of the eukaryotic ribosome. Lineage: Eukaryota; Viridiplantae; Streptophyta; Magnoliopsida; Poales; Poaceae. The record is from RNAcentral.